GUAGUCUCGCACAGAUGCAUAUCAAUAAGCGGAGGAAAAGAAACUAACAAGGAUUCCCUUAGUAACGGCGAGUGAAGCGGGAAGAGCUCAAAUUUGAAAUCUUCAAGGUUUUACCUUGACGAAUUGUAGUUUAAAGAAGUGUUUUCUGUUGAAGUUUUGGUAAAAGUUCUUUGGAAUAGGACAUCAUAGAGGGUGAGACUCCCGUAUUUGACCAUUAUGCUUUCAGCUGUGUGAUACACUUUCAAAGAGUCGGAUUGUUUGGGAAUGCAGUCCAAAAUGGGUGGUAAAUUUCAUCUAAAGCUAAAUAUUGGCGAGAGACCGAUAGCGAACAAGUACCGUGAGGGAAAGAUGAAAAGAACUUUGAAAAGAGAGUUAAACAGUACGUGAAAUUGUCAAAAGGGAAGCGUUUGACACCAGUGUUGUUUUCUCGAAAAUCAAUUAAAAAGAGUUUGAUUUUGUUGUGUAUAGACCUUAACAGCUUGCAUUUCAAUUUUCUUGCUUUUUUUAAUGCACUUUUCAUUUAACAAGUCAACAUCAGUUUCUUUUGUUGUAAAAAGGUCAUUGGAAGGUGGCUUUCUUUUCGGAGAAAGUGUUUAUAGCCUUUGACUCCUGCAAUCGGAGAGACUGAGGUCUGCAGCGUAGAUCCUUCGGGGUUAGAUACAUUUGUGCUAAGUUAUAGCUUUUUAUAGACAACUUGUUGACUAUGAUUAGUCUUGUAGCUUACUCGCUUAUGCUAUUUUACCUACGCUUAGGAUGUUGAGCGCAUGUCUCUCUCU
Molecule: ribosomal RNA, 776 nt
Filed under: uncultured Neocallimastigales
Lineage: Eukaryota; Fungi; Neocallimastigomycota; Neocallimastigomycetes; Neocallimastigales
Description: partial large subunit ribosomal RNA
Rfam family: Eukaryotic large subunit ribosomal RNA
Source: RNAcentral